Molecule: long non-coding RNA, 2873 nt
Filed under: Ornithorhynchus anatinus (platypus)
Lineage: Eukaryota; Metazoa; Chordata; Mammalia; Monotremata; Ornithorhynchidae
Description: lncRNA (ENSOANG00000046722.1)
Source: RNAcentral
GAUGAGCGCACCUCCCCCCUCAGGGAGGGCGGGAGGGAAGGAGGGAGGGGGCUGCGCUGCGCAGCCGCCAUGUUCGGUUGCUAUGCUGCGGCCCUGGAGAGGGUCAGGGUUUGAAGGAGGGAGGGGAAGAGGAGGUGGAGGAGGUGGAGGAGGUGGAGGUGGUGGGGACCAGCCUCCUGUCCCUGGCCGGUGUUCUCCCUUUCACACCCCCGCCAGCCCGCCCCUCCCAGCCCAGCCCUGUCCUGCCCUGCCCUGCGGGGAGCUGGGCCUCCCUUCCUUCCACCCCAGGCGUCCUCCUCCCCCUUCAUCUCCUUCCUCCCCUUCCUCCCCGCAGACCCCUCAUCCCCUCCAGGGUUGAGGUGGGAAGAUCGGAAUUAGACUGGGAGGCCGGGAGCCUUCCCUUGAGGCCAAUUGUCUGGGAGGGAGGUGGCAGGGAGAGGGGGCCUCCUGCAAGCCUCAGCGCCUCGGUGGGUCCCUUCUGGGGGAUUAUCGAGGCUCUAUGAAUUUUAUGUGUUUUUUUAACUUCAAAAAGGCUUUCACAGCUGCACCCCCCAAAAAGCCUGCUUUACAGCUACACCCCCAAAAAGCCCCCCCAAAAAGGCUGCUUUACAGCUGCACCCCCCCAAAAAAGCUGUUUUACAGCUACACCCCCCCAAAAAGGCUUUUACAGCUGCACCUCCCAAAAAGGCUGCUUUACAGCUGCAUCCCCCAAAAAGGCUGCUUUGCAGCUGCACCCCCCAAAAAGGCUGUUUUACAGCUGCACCCCCCAAAAAGGCUGUUUUACAGCUGCACCCCCCAAAAAGGCUGCUUUACAGCUACGCCCCCCAAAAAGGCUGCUUUACAGCUACACUCCCCAAAAAACUGGUUUACAGCUACACUCCCCAGAAAAGCUGCUUUACAGCUGCAACCCCCAAAAAGGCUGCUUUACAAGUACACCCCCCAAAAGAGCUGUUUUACAGCUACACCCCCCCCCCCCCCCAAAAGGCGGGGGGUGGGGAGCUUCUGCGUCUCCUCCUCCUGCUGCCUCCUCCUCCUCGUCGUCGUCGUCGUCUGGUCCUGUUCCUCCUCCCCUUUCUGGCCCGGCGGUGCUGCAGCCCCGCAGUAUGAGGCGGUGCGGGCUGCUCAGGCCGCUGGGGGGGCUGCUCCUCCGGGGGAUUUGAAGGGAGACCCCAGCGGGGGCGACACAUCACUCCCUCACAUCGCUUCAUCCGACACGGACACAGACACCGAGAGAGAGAUUGCCCUUUUCCCCCCGACCCGAUCCGACCCGAUCCGACCCGACCCGACCCGCCCCUCUUCUCUCCACCUGAAAGAACGUGGCUAUUAUAUGAAGAAUGCGACCAGUGCCCAUCGGCUCCUCGAAUCGUCCCCGCAACCCGUUAACCGAUGAGCGCGAUGUGGAUCUUCACAAAGCGUUGUCUUGCAGGCAGAUUUUGCGGUGCCCUGCCUCCAAAUCAAACGCCGAGUGCUGUCAUGUGGGCACCAUGUUAGACCGUAUUUUCUGCUUCAUGAAUCACAAAGUUGUUUUCAAAACGUCAAACCCCAUUUUUCAUAACAGAUACCGCCGGCAUGCUCAUCGUUUGGAAGCUGAGAAAUAAAAGUGGGGGUUCCUGGGAAGAUAUGGGGGGUUUGCGCAUCCAUUUCAAAUAUCUGCCUUGGACCACUGAGCAGCCGUAAUAGGCGGAUGCAUGUCUUAUUGUUUUUCAGUUGACAUUUACUUUAGGCUGAAACAAUUUUGGCUUGGGGGAUGACUGACAUUCAUUCGCAGGAACUUGACUUUUGGAAUUUGUCAUUAAAACUGAAUAUGGAACGUUCAAGGAGUGUACGUGGUAUUUCCUCAAAAGCAUUGAUGUUUGAGGAAUUGGACUCCCUUGUAUAAUUUCUAAUGUGCUUUGAUUCUGGAUUUAGUUUAAGCAUGAGAAUCUGUAUUUAACUAUAAAGUAGUUUCUUUUAAGCUCUGUACUGUCAAAAUUAUUAUAAAAAUGAUCCAUCCCUGUAGCUUUAAAUGGUCACCACCCAAAUGUCUAAUUUAAGCUAAACAUAAAGACAGUAUUGAUUAUACACAUGCUAAAAAUAUGUACAGGGUCGGGUGUAGUUUGAAUGCUACCUCAGGAAACUUCUUGUGAACUAUCUUGGUCUAGCUAAUACAGAUUUCAUUGUUGCCAGAGGACUUAUUUUAAGACAAUUACAGAAUCCCUCAUUGAAGUAGUUUUAAUCCAUUUAUUCAAUAAUGGAAAAGUCAAAUUUUACCGAUUUGGAACUGUAUAUACUUUGCAUAGAACUCAGGUGGAAUAUCAUAUAAUAAAUUCAUUUUAUAUUCACUAAAGAAAGCCUUGUUCCCUGUGAAUGCAUUGUUAUGUGUGUCCAAUAUUUUAUCCUUUUCUUUAGUAAAAAUCAGUAGUGUUGUGACAUAGACAGCGCCGUAAAUCCAAUAUUCACAGAGUGCCAGAACAGUGUUAAAAAUGAGCGCCAUCGGUCACCUUUUUAUUUCAGCAAUUAGGAGAUUUGUGUAUUUAUUGAUUGAUAAGUAGGGGAAAGGAGGAAGAAGGGGAGGGAAAUUACACCUCUUGAAAUUUUCAGGCAAUUCAGGUAUUCCAGUAGCUUAUUUGGAUGAGAUUUUUUUGCAGUAGAUCUGAACCCAGGAAGUGAGAGGUAAAGGUAUUGAUUACAUGUUGGCCUCAAACAAUGGGACAGCUAUCUUAAAAUAUGCAGAAAGCUUAAACCAGUUUUAAUGGAUGUUGUUUGGGAAGGGAAAUAAGGGCUUAAUUUAAUUGUUGGUACCAAAAUCCAAUUUUGAGGCGCUUGCUUUUAGUAGUGUUACUGCCAUUUUGAAACACUUUAUUAGCCGAGUUUGCAGCAUUGCUUGUGAAUUU